CUACGGGGUGCACCAGUGAGGAAUAUUGCACAAUGGGGGGGAACCCUGAUGCAGCAACGCCGCGUGGAGGAUGACACAUUUCGGUGUGUAAACUCCUUUUAUAUGUCAAGAAAAUGACGGUAGCAUAUGAAUAAGCACCGGCUAACUCCGUGCCAGCAGCCGCGGUAAUACGGAGGGUGCAAGCGUUACUCGGAAUCACUGGGCGUAAAGGACGCGUAGGCGGGUUGGAAAGUCAGGUGUGAAAUCCUACAGCUUAACUGUAGAACUGCACUUGAAACUUCUAAUCUAGAGUAUGGGAGGGGGAGAUGGAAUUAGUGGUGUAGGGGUAAAAUCCGUAGAUAUCACUAGGAAUACCUAAAGCGAAGGCGAUCUCCUGGAACAUUACUGACGCUAAGGCGUGAAAGCGUGGGGAGCAAACAGGAUUAGAUACCCCCGUAGUC
Molecule: ribosomal RNA, 440 nt
Filed under: uncultured bacterium
Lineage: Bacteria
Description: partial 16S ribosomal RNA
Rfam family: Bacterial small subunit ribosomal RNA
Source: RNAcentral